Molecule: long non-coding RNA, 487 nt
Organism: Xiphophorus couchianus (Monterrey platyfish)
Lineage: Eukaryota; Metazoa; Chordata; Actinopteri; Cyprinodontiformes; Poeciliidae
Exons: 3
Source: RefSeq, a predicted model, not a curated record
AGUAUUACAGCAUAUUUCAAGAUGCCUCUGAUUGAAACUGCUCUUGUAUGGCAUUCUUAAGAGAAUACUCAGGAUUGUCAAUAAUGAACUCAAUUUUAUAAAGAAUCCUUUGCACAAUCAUCACCAGAUGCUCCAGAACAGGAUCAACCUUCGUUAUCAACUUGUUGAAUCUUCCUAAGUGACUUCCUGUGAUGCAGCCUUAAGAUCUUGCGACAAACACUGAAGGAUUGAAGCUAAGUACGUCCUCAUAUUCCAGUCUGCUCUGCCCCUUCAUCACCAUUGCAUCUCCAGUUCAGUUUUUUAUCCAGGCUAUACUGCAGUGCCUCCAGAGCAGCAGUGGAUUCUUUGUCAGAUUGUACUACAAGCAGCUCACAGGCAAAUAUUUGGAAUCACCUUGAAUGCCCAUAACCCUGUGGAUUAAAGAUGAGGCUGAUGGAGGAGAUGUGUAAGUGGCUUAGAGACCACUGAAGAUCUUGUGUGAGAAUAA